AACACUGUGGUUCAUCCAAGCAACUAUAAGGAAUUCAUUAUAAUUCAGGAAUAGAGCAGCAGGUUGGAGGAAGGGGAGAAAAGAGAUAUCAUUAAGAACUACUCUGUAAUCCAAGGUAGGGAGUUUGAACUUCAUGAAAAAGGCUCCAGAAGCCAGUGGAUGGGGUUAACAAGGGAUAUAAGGUUAUUUGCACUUUAAGAAGGUCAUUUUGGAAGAAGUUUGAAGAAUGGCCUGGAAAGGAGGAACCUGGGGGGCCAGACCAGAAAUUGGGAUACUAUAGUGUAAACCAGGCCUGUGGUUCUUAAACCUAAACAUGCAUCAGAAUCACCUGGAAAUCUUAUUAAGACACAGGUUGCUGGGUUCUACUCUGGACAUAAUGACAGAGGUCAUGCAGUAUGGAUGUGUUGCUCUGCUGCUGGAGACCCGAGCACUGAUUUGACCAGUACCAUCAGAUAUAUCCUGCACAGCACUCUUGGCAACAACAAUGGCGUAAUGCAGAUACCGUGGCUUUAGGAGGUGUGGUUGGUAAUGGAUGGACUUGGAUUUGGAACUGUCUCAAAGAUUUACUUUGGAUCCUCUGUGAUGUUUCAAGCCCUUCGUUUUGGCAAGCCUGUCAUUUGCCAGUUGUCAAAUAGGUUGAGUCAUUAGUCUGGGCUUGUCAUCUGGGAGCCUCCAAAUGAUUGAUAUGGUUCUGCUACGCUUCCCAACGGGAUAAUUAAGUGUCCACUCAGCUCUGUCUACCUGUUUUUAUGAAAAGUAAAAUGAAAUAAAAAAUUACGUUAUUCUUUUUUUUUUCUACCUGUGAAAGCAGCAAGCUGGGAAAAUGCAUUUGAACAAGCUGUUUAUUCUAAUAUUUAGUCCCUGAAGGACAAAUUUCUUAUUGGAAAAACCAAACCUUGCAAAUCUUUUUAGGCUAACAAAAUAAUCCUCUCCAUUUGUCUACCUUGCGUAGUGAUUUUGUGUACAUUUUCCUUUCUUCUUUGCAACAACCCUAUGUAGUAGAAAGAACAAACAUUAUUAUCUUCAUAUUGUCGAUAAAUAUCUUGAAACUCAGAAAUCAUUUUAACAUCAUAUUUGGUUCCUCUGACUAUUGUAUUAAUCUCCUGCCAUACUGUGCUAUCAAACAUCUUCUUGUAUAAAAGGGAUGUCUGAAUAUUGCAUAUCUGUGUUAUUCUCCCAUUCAGGAUCUUCUUUCUUUCUUUCUUUCUUUCUUUCUUUCUUUCUUUCUUUCUUUCUUUCUUUUCUUCCUUUCUCUUUAAAUUUUAUUUAUUUUUAGAGAGACAGAGACAGUGUGAGUGGGGGAAGGGCAGAGAGAGAGGGAAAGACAGAAUCCCAAGCAGGCCCCACACCUUUAGGACAGAGACUAAUGUGGGGCUUGAAACCAGGAACUGCAAGAUCAUGACCUGAGCUGAAAACAGGAGUCGGACGCUUAACUGACUGAGCCACCCAGUGCCCCUCAUUCCACCAGGAUCUCUUUCUAAAGUGUAUAGGUCUUGACAAAUUUGUUUGCCAAGAUACUGGGAUUGCUUAGGUGAACAUGUGGGGGAGGAAAGCAAGCAAGAUAGGGUCAUCCCAUCCCAGAGUAGAGGAUUUGUCCCCAAGGUACUACAACCAACAGUCCAAAUGGCAGUGUGUGAUGGAAAGUGAUAGCUCAAUCCCAGAACUAAAGAGAAAUCUGUGAGACAUUCCCUCCUUGCCUACACAGAUGAUUCCUUUCAAAGACCAGGUGCUUAUUAUCUCCAGUAUAAUGUGGCUUUUGGAUACUCUCCAGUCAGCAAAGUAGACACUCCUAUUUGGCAAGGUGAACCCAGCCAUGGUUUCCUAGUUUGCUGAAUCAAUAGGAAAUGACUUUGGAAAAAUACAGCAAUGGCAGCAACAAAUGGUUUUGAAGGUUUUCAGCCAAACACUGUAUAAAGUGAACUGCCAAGAGUUUCCCUUGUGAUAUCCCUUUUCGGAUGAUAACAUAUGACUUCGAACUUUUGCUCCUUACAUACUAUGUGACUUCACUCUUCAGACAUGAUUAAACCCAAAUUCUUUCUACAGCUGAACAUUUGUUCCUCUAAGGACCUUAAGUUUUCUUCAUUCUUGCCUAGUGAGGUCCCAUCUCCUGAUGAUAUGGUCAGCUUCUUGGCACCCAUUCUCAUUACUAUAUAUUUUAUAUACUUCUGUUUUCUUUCUGUUUUGAAUGUCAAGUAAAAAAAAAAAAGGCCCUGUGAUUCCUCACU
This is a long non-coding RNA of Acinonyx jubatus (cheetah), 2225 nucleotides long. RefSeq lists it as uncharacterized. Lineage: Eukaryota; Metazoa; Chordata; Mammalia; Carnivora; Felidae. The record is from RefSeq and is a predicted model, not a curated record. The transcript has 4 exons.